Molecule: long non-coding RNA, 313 nt
Filed under: Setaria italica (foxtail millet)
Lineage: Eukaryota; Viridiplantae; Streptophyta; Magnoliopsida; Poales; Poaceae
Description: long non-coding RNA (SITA_LNC004751)
Source: RNAcentral
ACGAUGGCUCACGCCAUCGAAUUGGGAUGAGCCCGUCCGCUCGUUUUGGGCGGACGGGGUCAUCCCGGAUCUACACCAAAUAUUUCCCUAUGGGGAUGGACUCGUCCCGAUAUCUCCCAACCAAACACCACUGAAAAGGAGGACCGUCCCAAUUCAUCCUCGGAACCAAACACAAACACAUGCUUAGUUGCUAGGUCAACCAUGCAUGCUAUCAUGUCGGGGGCAAUCAUCUUAUAAUUUUUAGUUAGAAGAACUUGUUGUUCUCAAAGAGGAAGUCAAUCUGCUGGAUUAAACAAAAUAAAGUUGUGAGCGC